Molecule: ribosomal RNA, 484 nt
Filed under: uncultured bacterium
Lineage: Bacteria
Description: partial 16S ribosomal RNA
Rfam family: Bacterial small subunit ribosomal RNA
Source: RNAcentral
AGUGAACGCUGGCGGCGUGCUUAACACAUGCAAGUCGAACGAGAACGGAUUAUAGCUUGCUAUAAUUGUCAGCUAAGUGGCGCACGGGUGAGUAAUGUAUAGGUAAUAUGCCUCUUACUAAGGGAUAACAAAUGGAAACGUUUGCUAAUACCUUAUACUCCUUAUUAACAGAAGUUAAUAAGUGAAAGAUUUAUUGGUAAGAGAUUAGCCUGUAUUGUAUCAGUUAGUUGGUGGGGUAAUGGCCUACCAAGACUAUGACACAUAACUGGUUUGAGAGGAUGAUCAGUCACACUGGAACUGAGACACGGUCCAGACUCCUACGGGAGGCAGCAGUGGGGAAUAUUGCACAAUGGACGAAAGUCUGAUGCAGCAACGCCGCGUGGAGGAUGACACAUUUCGGUGCGUAUACUCCUUUUAUAUGAGAAGAUAAUGACGGUAUUAUAUGAAUAAGCACCGGCUAACUCCGUGCCAGCAGCCGCCGUAA